This 1315-nucleotide ribosomal RNA is filed under the name unidentified marine bacterioplankton. RNAcentral describes it as "bacterial SSU rRNA". It matches the Rfam family "Bacterial small subunit ribosomal RNA", at positions 9 to 1371 of the family's 1533-position model. The record is from RNAcentral.
GAGUUUGAUCAUGGCUCAGAACGUACGCUGGCGGCACGCCUAACACAUGCAAGUCGAACGAAGUAGCAAUACUUAGUGGCAGACGGGUGAGUAACAUGUAGGUAUCUACCCUUUGGCCUGGAAUAACACGAGGAAACUUGUGCUAAUACUGGAUAAGUCUUUACGGAGAAAGCUUUAUGCACCAUUGGAUGAGCCUGCACUUGAUUAGUUUGUUGGUGGGGUAAUGGCCUACCAAGACUUUGAUCAAUAGCUGAUUUGAGAGGAUGAUCAGCCACAUUGGGACUGAGACACGGCCCAAACUCCUACGGGAGGCAGCAGUGGGGAAUCUUGCACAAUGGAGGAAACUCUGAUGCAGCGAUGCCGCGUGAGUGAAGAAGGCCCUUGGGUUGUAAAGCUCUUUCGUCGGGGAAGAAAAUGACUGUACCCGAAUAAGAAGGUCCGGCUAACUUCGUGCCAGCAGCCGCGGUAAUACGAAGGGACCUAGCGUAGUUCGGAAUUACUGGGCUUAAAGAGUUCGUAGGUGGUUGAAAAAGUUGGUGGUGAAAUCCCAGAGCUUAACUCUGGAACUGCCAUCAAAACUUUUCAGCUAGAGUUUGAUAGAGGAAAGCAGAAUUUCUAGUGUAGAGGUGAAAUUCGUAGAUAUUAGAAAGAAUACCAAUUGCGAAGGCAGCUUUCUGGAUCAAUACUGACACUGAGGAACGAAAGCAUGGGUAGCGAAGAGGAUUAGAUACCCUCGUAGUCCAUGCCGUAAACGAUGUGUGUUAGACGUUGGAAAUUUAUUUUCAGUGUCGCAGCGAAAGCGAUAAACACACCGCCUGGGGAGUACGACCGCAAGGUUAAAACUCAAAUGAAUUGACGGGGACCCGCACAAGUAGUGGAGCAUGUGGUUUAAUUCGAAGAUACGCGCAGAACCUUACCAACACUUGACAUGUUCGUCGCGACUUUAAGAGAUUAAAGUUUUCGGUUCGGCCGGACGAAACACAGGUGCUGCAUGGCUGUCGUCAGCUCGUGUCGUGAGAUGUUGGGUUAAGUCCCGCAACGAGCGCAACCCUCACUUUUAGUUGCCAUCAUUAAGUUGGGCACUCUGAAAGAACUGCCAGUGAUAAGCUGGAGGAAGGUGGGGAUGACGUCAAGUCCUCAUGGCCCUUACGUGUUGGGCUACACACGUGCUACAAUGGUAUCUACAACAGGAAGCAAGACGGCGACGUUAAGCAAAUCCUCAAAAGAUACUUCAGUUCGGAUUGCACUCUGCAACUCGAGUGCAUGAAGCUGGAAUUACUAGUAAUCGUGGAUCAGCGUGCCACGGUGAAUGCGU